Molecule: ribosomal RNA, 405 nt
Filed under: uncultured bacterium
Lineage: Bacteria
Description: bacterial SSU rRNA
Rfam family: Bacterial small subunit ribosomal RNA
Source: RNAcentral
UGGGGAAUAUUGGGCAAUGGAGGAAACUCUGACCCAGCAACGCCGCGUGAAGGAUGAAGGUUUUCGGAUUGUAAACUUCUGUUGCGAGGGAUGAAGAAUGACGGUACCUCGUGAGGAAGCCCCGGCAAACUACGUGCCAGCAGCCGCGGUAAUACGUAGGGGGCGAGCGUUGUCCGGAAUGACUGGGCGUAAAGGGAGUGUAGGCGGCCUUUUAAGUUAUAUGUGAAAGCCCUGGGCUCAACCGAGGAACUGCAUAUAAAACUGGGAGGCUGGAGUGCAGGAGAGGUAAGCGGAAUUCCUAGUGUAGCGGUGGAAUGCGUAGAUAUUAGGAAGAACACCGGAGGCGAAGGCGGCUUACUGGACUGUAACUGACGCUGAGGCUCGAAAGCGUGGGGAGCAAACAGG